RNAcentral lists this ribosomal RNA (1485 nucleotides) under uncultured organism. Its description in RNAcentral is "bacterial SSU rRNA". It matches the Rfam family "Bacterial small subunit ribosomal RNA". The record is from RNAcentral.
AGAGUUUGAUCCUGGCUCAGGAUGAACGCUAGCGGCAGGCCUAACACAUGCAAGUCGAGGGGUAACGAUGGAGCUUGCUCCAGGCGACGACCGGCGCACGGGUGAGUAACGCGUUUGCAACCUACCUCUAACUGGAACAUAGCCCGGAGAAAUUCGGAUUAAUAUUCCAUAACACUAUGAUUUGGCAUCUUAUUAUAGUUAAAGUUUCGGCGGUUAGAGAUGGGCAUGCGUGACAUUAGCUAGUUGGUGAGGUAACGGCUCACCAAGACAUCGAUGCCUAGGGGGCCUGAGAGGGUGAUCCCCCACACUGGUACUGAGACACGGACCAGACUCCUACGGGAGGCAGCAGUAAGGAAUAUUGGGCAAUGGACGAAAGUCUGACCCAGCCAUGCCGCGUGCAGGAUGACGGCCCUAGUGGUUGUAAACUGCUUUUAUACGGGAAGAAAAGUUCCAACGUGUUGGAAUGUGACUGUACCGUAUGAGUAAGCAUCGGCUAACUCCGUGCCAGCAGCCGCGGUAAUACGGAGGAUGCAAGCGUUAUCCGGAUUCAUUGGGUUUAAAGGGUGCGUAGGCGGAUUGGUAAGUCAGUGGUGAAAUCCUCUCGCUUAACGGGAGAAUUGCCGUUGAUACUAUCAAUCUUGAGUACACUUGAAGUGGGCGGAAUGUGUCAUGUAGCGGUGAAAUGCAUAGAUAUGACACAGAACACCGAUUGCGAAGGCAGCUCACUAAAUUGUAACUGACGCUGAGGCACGAAAGCGUGGGGAGCAAACAGGAUUAGAUACCCUGGUAGUCCACGCUGUAAACGAUGAUCACUAGCUGUUGGCGAUACACUGUCAGCGGCUGAGCGAAAGUAUUAAGUGAUCCACCUGGGGAGUACGAUCGCAAGGUUGAAACUCAAAGGAAUUGACGGGGGCCCGCACAAGCGGAGGAGCAUGUGGUUUAAUUCGAUGAUACGCGAGGAACCUCACCUAGGCUUAAAUGCUUUUUGACCGUCCUGGAAACAGGAUUUCCCUUCGGGGCAAAUUGCAAGGUGCUGCAUGGUUGUCGUCAGCUCGUGCCGUGAGGUGUCGGGUUAAGUCCCAUAACGAGCGCAACCCCUAUUCUUAGUUGCCAUCAGGUAAUGCUGGGAACUCUAAGGAAACUGCCUACGCAAGUAGUGAGGAAGGUGGGGAUGACGUCAAAUCAGCACGGCCCUUACGCCUAGGGCUACACACGUGCUACAAUGGCCAGCAUAGUGGGUUGCUACCUGGUAACAGGAUGCUAAUCUCUAAAUCUGGUCUCAGUUCGGAUUGAAGUCUGCAACUCGACUUCAUGAAGUUGGAUUCGCUAGUAAUCGCGCAUCAGCAAUGGCGCGGUGAAUACGUUCCCGGGCCUUGUACACACCGCCCGUCAAGCCAUGGAAGCUGGGAGUGCCUGAAGUCUGUAACCGCAAGGAGCGGCCUAGGGUAAAACCAGUAACUGGGGCUAAGUCGUAACAAGGUAACC